Molecule: ribosomal RNA, 253 nt
Filed under: uncultured Eubacteriales bacterium
Lineage: Bacteria; Bacillati; Bacillota; Clostridia; Eubacteriales
Description: uncultured Clostridiales bacterium partial 16S ribosomal RNA
Rfam family: Bacterial small subunit ribosomal RNA
Source: RNAcentral
UACGUAGGGGGCAAGCGUUAUCCGGAUUUACUGGGUGUAAAGGGAGCGUAGACGGCAGCGCAAGUCUGGAGUGAAAUGCCGGGGCCCAACCCCGGAACUGCUCUGGAAACUGUGAAGCUGGAGUGCAGGAGAGGUAAGCGGAAUUCCUGGUGUAGCGGUGAAAUGCGUAGAGAUCGGGAGGAACACCAGUGGCGAAGGCGGCCUACUGGGCUCUAACUGACGCUGAGGCACGAAAGCGUGGGUAGCAAACAGG